This 302-nucleotide ribosomal RNA is filed under the name uncultured Bacteroidota bacterium. RNAcentral's name for it is "bacterial SSU rRNA". It matches the Rfam family "Bacterial small subunit ribosomal RNA", at positions 28 to 325 of the family's 1533-position model. The record is from RNAcentral. Lineage: Bacteria; Pseudomonadati; Bacteroidota.
GAUGAACGCUAGCGGCAGGCUUCAUACAUGCAAGUCGAGGGGCAGCAUAAAUUACUUGUAAUUUGAUGGCGACCGGCGAACGGGUGCGUAACGCGUAUGCAACUUACCUUUUACUAGAGAAUAGCCAAGAGAAAUUUUGAUUAAUGCUCUAUGUUCUUAUUUACUCGCAUGAGUAAAUAAGCAAAGCUCCGGCGGUAAAAGAUGGGCAUGCGUCCUAUUAGCUUGUAGGUGAGGUAACGGCUCACCUAAGCUCCGAUAGGUAGGGGUCCUGAGAGGGAGAUCCCCCACACUGGUACUGAGAC